CGGGCUGCCUCGGGGCCUCCGGGGUGGCGAGGGCGGUGGUAGGCUGCGCCUCCACCUUCGUCGUGGUUGAGUACAUGGCAAGCGAGCAUGACACAGUUAGCAGCUCCUGGCUUUGCUGCAGGCCAUUCAAAUUCUCCAUGGGUGCUGUUUUUGCUACCUGUGCUGCAGAAUUGUGCAGGUAUGGGACUUCAAGGUAAACUGAACAGGAGAUGACUGACCCGAGGCAGACCUUGAAAUCUCAAAGAUGAGAAGUGGGACCAGACAAGACGAGACAACUGAGACGAGAACUAAUUAAAGGACUUUGAUGAACGAUAAGACCUGGGAAC
Harpia harpyja (harpy eagle) is the source of this 326-nucleotide long non-coding RNA. RefSeq lists it as uncharacterized. The record is from RefSeq and is a predicted model, not a curated record. NCBI's taxonomy places the organism in Eukaryota, Metazoa, Chordata, Aves, Accipitriformes, Accipitridae. The transcript is spliced from 3 exons.